CGUAGGGUGCGAGCGUUAAUCGGAAUUACUGGGCGUAAAGCGUGCGCAGGCGGUUCGCUAAGACCGAUGUGAAAUCCCCGGGCUUAACCUGGGAACUGCAUUGGUGACUGGCGGGCUAGAGUAUGGCAGAGGGGGGUAGAAUUCCACGUGUAGCAGUGAAAUGCGUAGAGAUGUGGAGGAAUACCGAUGGCGAAGGCAGCCCCCUGGGCCAAUACUGACGCUCAUGCACGAAAGCGUGGGGAGCAAACAGG
This 251-nucleotide ribosomal RNA is filed under the name uncultured Burkholderia sp. RNAcentral describes it as "partial 16S ribosomal RNA". It matches the Rfam family "Bacterial small subunit ribosomal RNA", at positions 526 to 776 of the family's 1533-position model. The record is from RNAcentral. Lineage: Bacteria; Pseudomonadati; Pseudomonadota; Betaproteobacteria; Burkholderiales; Burkholderiaceae.